Molecule: unclassified non-coding RNA, 240 nt
Filed under: soil metagenome
Description: partial contains 5.8S ribosomal RNA, internal transcribed spacer 2, and large subunit ribosomal RNA
Source: RNAcentral
AACACUGUUAACCUGCGGUACCUGCGGAAGGAUCAUUACAGUAUUCUUUUGCCAGCGCUUAACUGCGCGGCGAAAAACCUUACACACAGUGUCUUUUUGAUACAGAACUCUUGCUUUGGUUUGGCCUAGAGAUAGGUUGGGCCAGAGGUUUAACAAAACACAAUUUAAUUAUUUUUACAGUUAGUCAAAUUUUGAAUUAAUCUUCAAAACUUUCAACAACGGAUCUCAGAUCGGAAGAGC